Molecule: unclassified non-coding RNA, 277 nt
Filed under: Ambisporaceae sp.
Lineage: Eukaryota; Fungi; Glomeromycota; Glomeromycetes; Archaeosporales; Ambisporaceae
Description: partial contains 5.8S ribosomal RNA and internal transcribed spacer 2
Rfam family: 5.8S ribosomal RNA (bases 1-71)
Source: RNAcentral
GUGGAUCAUCGAAUCUUUGAACGCAUAUUGCACUCUCUGGUAUUCCGGAGAGUAUGCCUGUUUGAGGGUAAUUAAAACGAACCUCGAACCAAUUUUUUUUGGUCAAAGGAAAUGAGUUCUCCGCGAUUAUAGCGGUAGCGUGAAAUAAAUGGUCAAGUCCCAUUUCAGUCGAGUCGCGUAAAAACAUAAUUUUGCGAAAUCUUCAUUAUGCGACUAUCAAGUUUUGAUGCAUACAAUGAUGGUUCGUAUGCGAUCAACACAAAUCUUGUGUACAUUA